This 286-nucleotide unclassified non-coding RNA is filed under the name Malassezia restricta. Its description in RNAcentral is "sequence contains ITS2". The stretch from base 1 to 83 matches the Rfam family "5.8S ribosomal RNA", at positions 69 to 154 of the family's 154-position model. The record is from RNAcentral. Lineage: Eukaryota; Fungi; Basidiomycota; Malasseziomycetes; Malasseziales; Malasseziaceae.
UAGAUGCAGAUCCGUGAAUCAUCGAAUCUUUGACGCACCUUGCGCUCUAUGGCAAUCCGUAGAGCAUGCCUGUUUGAGUGCCAUGAAAUCUCCCACCCCAAGCGGUUUUUAAAUGAAACGGCUUGGCGGAUGGGGUCUGGAUGGGUGCCUCUGCCUGCGCUACCCAUUAAACGCACACGCUAACCGCAAAAGCACGAUCACACUGUUACACUUCGCCUCCCCCUCUCUGAUGAGACGACGCAGCCAAGUUUUGUUUUUCUCCUGGCAUGAUACGAUAUUUCAUUUG